CACGUAGGGGGCAAGCGUUGUCCGGAUUCAUUGGGCGUAAAGAGCUCGUAGGCGGUUCGAUAAGUCGGGUGUGAAACCUCCAGGCUCAACCUGGAGACGCCACCCGAUACUGUCGUGACUAGAGUCCAGUAGGGGAGCGUGGAAUUCCUGGUGUAGCGGUGAAAUGCGCAGAUAUCAGGAGGAACACCAAUGGCGAAGGCAGCUCGCUGGAACGGUACUGACGCUGAGGCGCGAAAGCGUGGGGAGCGAACAGG
This 254-nucleotide ribosomal RNA is filed under the name uncultured bacterium. RNAcentral describes it as "partial 16S ribosomal RNA". It matches the Rfam family "Bacterial small subunit ribosomal RNA", at positions 524 to 776 of the family's 1533-position model. The record is from RNAcentral.